UAGACAGGAGGAGAGAUCAUCAGAGGUAUGUUAGCCCAUAGAUGUAUAACCCUAGAUAGGAGGAGAGAUCAUCAGAUGUAUGUUAGCCCAUAGAUAUAGAACCCUAGACAGGAGGAGAGAUCAUCAGAGGUAUGUUAGCCCAUAGAUAUAGAACCCUAGACAGGAGGAGAGAUCACCAGAGGUAUUAUAGCCAUAGAUGUAUAACCCUAGACAGGAGGAGAGAUCAUCAGAGGUAUGUUAGCCCAUAGAUGUAUAACCCUAGAUAGGAGGAGAGAUCAUCAGAGGUAUUAUAGCCAUAGAUGUAUAACCCUAGACAGGAGGAGAGAUCAUCAGAGGUAUUAUAGCCCAUAGAUGUAUAACCCUAGACAGGAGGAGAGAUCAUCAGAGGUAUGUUAGCCCAUAGAUGUAUAACCCUAGACAGGAGGAGAGAUCAUCAGAGGUAUUAUAGCCAUAGAUGUAUAACCCUAGACAGGAGGAGAGAUCAUCAGAGGUAUUAUAGCCCAUAGAUGUAUAACCCUAGACAGGAGGAGAGAUCAUCAGAGGUAUUAUAGCCAUAGAUGUAUAACCCUAGACAGGAGGAGAGAUCAUCAGAUGUAUUAUAGCCAUAGAUAUAGAACCCUAGACAGGAGGAGAGAUCAUCAGAGGUAUUAUAGCCAUAGAUGUAUAACCCUAGACAGGAGGAGAGAUCAUCAGAGGUAUUAUAGCCAUAGAUAUAGAACCCUAGACAGGAGGAGAGAUCAUCAGAGGUAUGUUAGCCAUAGAUGUAUAACCCUAGACAGGAGGAGAGAUCAUCAGAGGUAUGUUAGCCCAUAGAUAUAGAACCCUAGACAGGAGGAGAGAUCAUCAGAGGUAUGUUAGCCCAUAGAUAUAGAACCCUAGACAGGAGGAGAGAUCAUCAGAGGUAUUAUAGCCAUAGAUGUAUAACCCUAGAUAGGAGGAGAGAUCAUCAGAGGUAUGUUAGCCCAUAGAUAUAGAACCCUAGACAGGAGGAGAGAUCAUCAGAGGUAUGUUAGCCCAUAGAUAUAGAACCCUAGACAGGAGGAGAGAUCAUCAGAGGUAUGUUAGCCCAUAGAUAUAGAACCCUAGACAGGAGGAGAGAUCAUCAGAGGUAUGUUAGCCCAUAGAUGUAUAACCCUAGACAGGAGGAGAGAUCAUCAGAGGUAUGUUAGCCCAUAGAUGUAUAACCCUAGACAGGAGGAGAGAUCAUCAGAGGUAUGUUAGCCCAUAGAUAUAGAACCCUAGACAGGAGGAGAGAUCAUCAGAGGUAUGUUAGCCCAUAGAUGUAUAACCCUAGACAGGAGGAGAGAUCAUCAGAGGUAUUAUAGCCAUAGAUGUAUAACCCUAGACAGGAGGAGAGAUCAUCAGAGGUAUGUUAGCCCAUAGAUGUAUAACCCUAGACAGGAGGAGAGAUCAUCAGAGGUAUGUUAGCCCAUAGAUAUAGAACCCUAGACAGGAGGAGAGAUCAUCAGAGGUAUGUUAGCCCAUAGAUAUAGAACCCUAGACAGGAGGAGAGAUCAUCAGAGGUAUUAUAGCCAUAGAUGUAUAACCCUAGACAGGAGGAGAGAUCAUCAGAGGUAUUAUAGCCAUAGAUGUAUAACCCUAGACAGGAGGAGAGAUCAUCAGAGGUAUGUUAGCCCAUAGAUGUAUAACCCUAGACAGGAGGAGAGAUCAUCAGAGGUAUGUUAGCCCAUAGAUGUAUAACCCUAGACAGGAGGAGAGAUCAUCAGAGGUAUGUUAGCCCAUAGAUAUAGAACCCUAGACAGGAGGAGAGAUCAUCAGAGGUAUGUUAGCCCAUAGAUAUAGAACCCUAGACAGGAGGAGAGAUCAUCAGAGGUAUUAUAGCCAUAGAUGUAUAACCCUAGACAGGAGGAGAGAUCAUCAGAGGUAUGUUAGCCCAUAGAUGUAUAACCCUAGACAGGAGGAGAGAUCAUCAGAGGUAUGUUAGCCCAUAGAUAUAUAACCCUAGACAGGAGGAGAGAUCAUCAGAGGUAUGUUAGCCCAUAGAUAUAGAACCCUAGACAGGAGGAGAGAUCAUCAGAGGUAUGUUAGCCCAUAGAUGUAUAACCCUAGAUAGGAGGAGAGAUCAUCAGAGGUAUGUUAGCCCAUAGAUGUAUAACCCUAGACAGGAGGAGAGAUCAUCAGAGGUAUGUUAGCCCAUAGAUGUAUAACCCUAGAUAGGAGGAGAGAUCAUCAGAGGUAUGUUAGCCCAUAGAUAUAGAACCCUAGACAGGAGGAGAGAUCAUCAGAGGUAUGUUAGCCCAUAGAUGUAUAACCCUAGACAGGAGGAGAGAUCAUCAGAGGUAUUAUAGCCAUAGAUGUAUAACCCUAGAUAGGAGGAGAGAUCAUCAGAGGUAUGUUAGCCCAUAGAUAUAGAACCCUAGACAGGAGGAGAGAUCAUCAGAGGUAUGUUAGCCCAUAGAUGUAUAACCCUAGACAGGAGGAGAGAUCAUCAGAGGUAUGUUAGCCCAUUGAUAUAUAACCCUAGACAGGAGGAGAGAUCAUCAGAGGUAUUAUAGCCAUAGAUAUAUAACCCUAGAUAGGCUGAUGUCAUGUAGUCCCUAUACAUCAGAAUGGAACAGUUGGUCAGCCAUUUUAGCUGGGGCCUGUCCUGAUAUAUGGUCUGUGGUUAUAGCUAGUGUAGUAUUGUAUUGUUCUCAUGACAUCAUGAGGUGUUCUAUGGUUGUGUAAUGAAGGAGGGUCGGUGAACUGCUGUGCUGACGUGAUGAGUAACUAAGCUUGCCUGUGAGCUGAAGACUUGUUAGCUUCCUCAAGCUAAUGCCUGUAGGCUUUAGUUCAGCUCGCUAACACAGUCCUGUGAUGUGUCGGAGACUCCGGUCCGAACCCAGAUGGUCCAACCCUCACAGGACAGAAACACUAGGGUUGUUACUCCACAGUGAUGUCAUGACAUGAGGAAGAAGCCAGAAGAACACCCCGGACCCUAGACCGUCUACUCUACACAGACUCUACAUAUUCAAAUAGUUCCUCAGUCCUCAUUAAAAUAAUGGCAAAUUCCAAAUGGGAAUAUGGGGGUAGGCUGGGGAUUCAAUCAGGCAGUAGGAAUUGGUUUAGGCUGCAGAGCCCACAUGGUGCACUGGAUAAUGCCUGGUGGGAUAAAGUGUGUGUGCAGCAGCUGAUGUCACGUGUCUGGGGGUAAUGAGAAGUGACAUGCGUC
Molecule: long non-coding RNA, 3172 nt
Organism: Oncorhynchus keta (chum salmon)
Lineage: Eukaryota; Metazoa; Chordata; Actinopteri; Salmoniformes; Salmonidae
Exons: 4
Source: RefSeq, a predicted model, not a curated record